AAUCAACGCUGGCGGCGUGCCUAACACAUGCAAGUCGAACGAGAAAGUGGAGCAAUCCAUGAGUAAAGUGGCGCACGGGUGAGUAACACGUGACUAACCUACCCUUGAGUGGGGGAUAACCUAGGGAAACCUGGGCUAAUACCGCAUAAUACCUACGGGUCAAAGGAGCAAUUCGCUUUAGGAGGGGGUCGCGGCAGAUUAGUUAGUUGGCGGGGUAAUGGCCCACCAAGACGAUGAUCUGAUCCGGCCUGAGAGGGCGCACGGACACACUGGAACUGAAACACGGUCCAGACUCCUACGGGAGGCAGCAGUGGGGAAUUUUGCGCAAUGGGGGAAACCCUGACGCAGCAACGCCGCGUGGAGGAUGAAGACCCUUGGGUCGUAAACUCCUUUCGAUCGGGACGAUAAUGACGGUA
RNAcentral lists this ribosomal RNA (416 nucleotides) under uncultured bacterium. RNAcentral's name for it is "bacterial SSU rRNA". It matches the Rfam family "Bacterial small subunit ribosomal RNA", at positions 32 to 477 of the family's 1533-position model. The record is from RNAcentral.